AACGAACGUUGGCGGCGUGGAUUAGGCAUGCAAGUCGAACGAAUCUCACCUGGGCAACCGGGUGAGGGAAGUGGCGAAAGGGGCAGUAAGGCGUGGGUAACCUGCCCCGGAGUUCGGAAUAGUCCCUCUAACGAGGGGGUAAUACCGAAUGCCGUGCCGAGGGGGCAUCCCCCUGGCACGAAAGCUCCGGCGCUCCGGGAGGGGCCCACGUAGUAUUAGCUAGUUGGUGGGGUAACGGCCCACCAAGGCCAAGAUGCUUAGCAGGUGUGAGAGCACGACCUGCGCCACUGGCACUGGGACACUGGCCAGACUCCUACGGGAGGCUGCAGUCGAGGAUCUUCGGCAAUGGGCGCAAGCCUGACCGAGCGACGCCGCGUGUGCGACGAAGGCCUUCGGGUUGUAAAGCACUGUCGUGAGGGAGAAAAGCCGCAAGGCUUGAUCGACCUCAGGAGGAAGCACGGGCUAAGUUCGUGCCAGCCGCCGCAGUAAGAC
RNAcentral lists this ribosomal RNA (492 nucleotides) under uncultured bacterium. Its description in RNAcentral is "bacterial SSU rRNA". It matches the Rfam family "Bacterial small subunit ribosomal RNA", at positions 28 to 526 of the family's 1533-position model. The record is from RNAcentral.